CAUUUCUUUUUUAAUUAUUUUGAAAGUAUAGUCUGCCCACUGAAUUUAUUAAAGGGCCGCAGUAUAUUGACUGUGCAAAGGUAGCAUAAUCAUUAGCCUUUUAAUUAAAGGAUUGAAUGAAUGGCUUAACGAUUUAGUUUUUUAUUAUUAAUAAAAUAGAAUUUAAUUUUUUGGUGAAAAUUCCUUAUUUACCCUUAGGGACGAUAAGACCCUAUAGAUCUUUAUUUUUCUAAUCUACUUAUAUAUAAUUAGUUGAAAUUAAAAUUUUUAAUUUGAAUUAUUUUACUGGGGUAGUAGAAGAAAUAUUUUAAUUUCUUUAGAGUUAAUUUUUCAUUAGAAAUAUUUAAACUAUAAUAUUAUUUUUAAAAGUUACCUUAGGGAUAACAGCGUAAUAAUUUUGGUGAGUUCAUAUUAAUAAACUAUCUUGCGACCUCGAUGUUGAAUUAGAAUUAUUAAUUAGGGCAGUUUUUAUUUUUUUUAGUCUGUUCGACUAUUAAUUUUCUACAUGAUUUGA
Molecule: ribosomal RNA, 514 nt
Filed under: Pygmarrhopalites sp. A9 AK-2018
Lineage: Eukaryota; Metazoa; Arthropoda; Collembola; Symphypleona; Arrhopalitidae
Description: partial 16S ribosomal RNA
Source: RNAcentral